GCCUUUGUGGUGCAGUGGUCAGCACGCUUGAUACGUAUUUGAGGGGUCCGUUGUUCAAGUCCCGGCGAGGGCA
RNAcentral lists this transfer RNA (73 nucleotides) under Stegodyphus mimosarum. It matches the Rfam family "tRNA". From Rfam's summary of the family: Transfer RNA (tRNA) molecules are approximately 80 nucleotides in length. Their secondary structure includes four short double-helical elements and three loops (D, anti-codon, and T loops). Lineage: Eukaryota; Metazoa; Arthropoda; Arachnida; Araneae; Eresidae. The record is from Rfam by way of RNAcentral.